UGGCAACAUUUGAAAGCACAGUUACUCCGUCGGCCAUAGAAGCUGCCAUCAUAAGAGUUUCAGUUGCCCCAACACUAGGGAAAUCAAGGUGGAAACUGCCCCCAACCAAUCCCUUGCCAUUUGCAGAAUGUGCCAGCACUCUUCCAUCUCUGUAAUUUUGAAGAAUUUACUAAUUUCAGCCAAUUCUUUACAUAUUCAGUCAGGUGGUAACUCCAGACAGUCACACACACACACACACACACACAUCAACAGUUAAAGUUCUUGCCAUACCCUACUUUUUCUUGCCUGAUUGCAGAGUCUUGACUUAGAAUUGGCAGAAAAGCAGAAAAGAACACCUUAAAUGCUUUGCCAAAGAUCUAGUCAACUUGAGCUGUGAUCUAAUUGGUGACCGAUCUUCACAAAGUAGAAUUAUGUCAAUAAGUUGCCCAGCUCAUUAACUAUAACAAUAUCUAUGUUUUUUGUCACCAACGAAAGAGGAUGAUCCCUAAAAAAACCUCUGAAGCCCAGUGUCAUCACUAGUGAUUAUGCAAAAGUUUGCAAUCCCCGCCAUCUUUUCUGUGUUCGAGUGAGAUAUAGUAGGCUUACAUAAUCUGUUCCCACAAAUCAGAAACUGCCAAGGAAAUAUCUUAAAAGCUACCCAUCCACACCAGAAAACCCAGUUCUGUUCUAGCCAUUCAAGGUGAAAAAAAAAAAAAAAUUUAACGACAGUGAUGCUAGAUCUCUUAAGGUCAAGCUAGAAUCCUUCUAUAUGGUGAAAAGUUCACAUAAUCAUCAACCUCAUGACACAGACCAUUUUCUUAUUUAUCUACCAAGUAUUGAUCUUCACUCCCAAAUUUUACACUUUUAUUACCCCCAGACAGUUUCUUACAUUUCCCAUUUGAAUCCUAUUACCUAAUAGUUCCUAUAUUCAUAAGUAUUCGAUAUCAUACUGACAUCUUUCUUCAAACUGACCAGCUCUCUGCAUACUAGUAUUACGAAAAAAAUCCGAUCCUCAAAACAAUACUGUACCGGCUUAAAGUAACGUAAUAGAAUCAAUCUUAUUGAAUAUACAAUAUAUCUUUAAACUAGCUUCUUUACCUAAAAUGUGAUGAACAAUUACAUUCCAAGAAAAAUCAAUAAAAACAAUCAAGACAAUUUUCAAUGAAAACAUAACGCAAUUAAAAUUUAAAAAAAAACAUAACUUAUCUCAACAGCAGCCCCAAGAGCUCUUAGCCCACGAACGUACAAAUCCACAGGUCUCUCCCCAAUAUCACACCCACCAGGUAAACCCACAACAGCUUCACCGAACCGGGCCAGCAGCGGCCCGAUAACAAAGAACCCACCUCGAAUUUUCCUCAUUUCCUCCAAACAUGGCUCAACACGCCCAACACCAUCAGUGUUAACCAAAAUUUCCUUAUUCCUCUCGUUAAACUCAAUCUUGGCGCCUAACGAGCGUAAAAUUGAAAGCAUUGCUUUGGUGUCAGACAGGCCUGUGGGCACAUUGUGGAGUAGACAAGAGUUUGAGCAUAAAAGAGUAGCGGCGAGGAGACAGAGAGAAGAGUUCUUGGACCCGGAAAUGGGAACGUGGCCCGAAAGCUGUGUGGGUCCGGUGAUGGUAAGAGUUUCGGCUUCCCGGAUCUGGGUUGUUUGGGUUGGGAUUUGGGGGUUUUGGGUUUGUGGGAGUCGAAGAGAGAAUGGUUUAAGGGGCUUUGCAUAACACAAAGAGGUCGCCAUUUUCUUGUCGACCAGAGAGAAAAGCAACGGUGUUUAACAAACACUUGACCAAAUUCCCGCUUUAAUUGUCGAUGUUGAGU
This 1793-nucleotide long non-coding RNA is filed under the name Citrus maxima (pomelo). Its description in RNAcentral is "long non-coding RNA (CMAX_LNC003040)". The record is from RNAcentral. Lineage: Eukaryota; Viridiplantae; Streptophyta; Magnoliopsida; Sapindales; Rutaceae.